Molecule: ribosomal RNA, 238 nt
Filed under: uncultured bacterium
Lineage: Bacteria
Description: partial 16S ribosomal RNA
Rfam family: Bacterial small subunit ribosomal RNA
Source: RNAcentral
UACGGAGGGGGUUAGCGUUGUUCGGAAUUACUGGGCGUAAAGCGCACGUAGGCGGAUCAGAAAGUUGGGGGUGAAAUCCCGGGGCUCAACCCCGGAACUGCCUCCAAAACUCCUGGUCUUGAGUUCGAGAGAGGUGAGUGGAAUUCCGAGUGUAGAGGGUGAAAUUCGUAGAUAGUUCGGAAGGAACACCAGUGGCGAAGGCGGCUCACUGCUCGAUCACUGACGCUGAGGUGCGAAG